This 264-nucleotide ribosomal RNA is filed under the name uncultured archaeon. RNAcentral's name for it is "partial 16S ribosomal RNA". It matches the Rfam family "Archaeal small subunit ribosomal RNA", at positions 717 to 982 of the family's 1478-position model. The record is from RNAcentral.
ACACGACUACAUUAGAUACCCCCGUAGUCCUAGCCGUAAACGAUACUCGCUAGGUGUCGGCCACGGUGCGACCGUUGUCGGUGCCGUAGGGAAGCCGUGAAACGAGCCACCUGGGAAGUACGGCCGCAAGGCUGAAACUUAAGGAAUUGGCGGGGGAGCACCACAACGGGUGGAGCUUGCGGUUUAAUUGGAUUCAACGCCGGAAAUCUUACCGGGACCGACAGCAACAUGAAGGCCAGGCUGAAGACUUUGCCGGAUUAGCUG